Pseudopipra pipra is the source of this 5856-nucleotide long non-coding RNA. RefSeq lists it as uncharacterized. Lineage: Eukaryota; Metazoa; Chordata; Aves; Passeriformes; Pipridae. The transcript is spliced from 2 exons. The record is from RefSeq and is a predicted model, not a curated record.
CUCCCGCUGCCUCCCGGUACCCUCGUCUCCCUUCAGCAGACAGCAGAGAAAGAAGACUAAGAUCGAAAAGGAAAGUAUGAAAAAAGUGGAAAUAAUUAAUGCCGACAGGAUCAUGCCAUUUGCAUCACCAGAGAAAGUUACAGUCACAAAAUGAGAAACAAGUCAAAAUUAAAAGAAACAUUAAGGUACUGAAAGCACCUGAAAAUUAAGCCAUUAGUUUUAAGAAAGGAACUGAAGAUGCAUGUUUAAAAUAUAUUAUACUUCGGAAUAAUUAUCACUCCAAAAGUGAGAGAUGCAAAGGAAUGAGUGAGAAAAUUGACACUAAGAAACCAAAAAGUGGACAUGUAAUGGGAAGUGAAAAGUCCCAAGUGAGAUGAGACUAAAAGUGUUGAUAAAGAGACAAGAAAAAUUACUUUUGUGCAAAGGUCAGGAAAAAGGUUAGAGAGGAAGAUUGUUUCAAGUAAAACAAAAACAAAAGGCAGAGAAGAAUAUUAUCUGGUCAUGAAGCAGAAUGAGAAUAACAGACCUUGCGAAACUUUGAAAUGUAUGAGCUACACAGAAAGCAAGGAAUCAACAUUAGUGCCAAAAUGUGAAUGCAAGAUUAGGAAUCAAAUUCCUAGCAUCAGUUAUUAGGGUUUCCAGAGAAAAUCAUAAGAUGAUGAGUUCUAGAGAAUCUUUUUCUUUUAGACUCAUUUUGCACCCUUUACCCCAGGUUGGAAUUAGCUAAAGGCAGUGGUAUGGGAACAUGUCUCAAGGGACUAAACUCUGCAUUUGUGUAACUGAAGAUUCACUUUUCUCAAGCUGAGUGCAGUAACUCUUGCAGGACUUCAGUGCUGCUUAGUUGUAUCAAGUUGUAGGAUAUCCUUGAGGAGGUACUGGAAACAUGAGCAACAACAUGCUUUCCUGUUUUCUUUUCCUUUGAAAUAUCAGAUACUGAUUGUUGCCAAAACAGGAUAUCAAACAAGUGAUUUUGACCUGACUCAGUAUGGCAAUUUCAAUAAAUCUAUAAAGGACAGAAAAGCAUAACAGUUCCCUCCCAGAUCUCCCAAAUCAUCUGUGUUUUGUUUUUCCCAGCAAAGCAAAGGACUUCAGAAGAAAAGUACAUUGAAAUCAAAAGUAGAACAUUGGGAAACAAGGUUUUAUAAAAAUAACAGUUACCACAUUUAGUUUCACUGUAACAAACACUAUUAACAAAGAGGACAUGCCAAAAAUACACUGUGAGUUUUGAGGAUGACAAGAUGUCUAUAAAUAAACAAAACCUUUUUGUACUUCUUUGAGUGGUCCUCACUACUUCCUUCCUGAGGUAAAUGAACAAGCCAAUCAUAUCCUGCGUGAAAACUGUGUUCUUCCAGAAAAGAAGGAAAAAGAUAUAAACCCCUCAGCAUUUGUUACAUCAUUUAGUUAAAUUAGUCAGAGGACAAGGACAAGUCACCCUCAAGAAAAAUAAGAUGUCAACAUUUAGAAUAAACUUCAUUCAACUUACUCUGAUCAUCCUUGAAUUUGGAAGAUUUAUGUUCUCCUUGAGUCUUUAUAAACAAAAAUAAAAAGAGGGCAUAAAUAUACAGAGACACAAAGUUCCUUAGCCUUAAGCGACUCCAGUUUUUGUCUGGUUUUGACAGUGCUAUCCCAGAAUAUACUUUCUAUUUUUACUACUGUUUUACUUCUAAAAUAACACCAAGUUUUGUCAAUAGAAGUGAGCCGCAACAAUUGGCACCUCAUACCAGGCAUUCCAUAGAGCCACAAUGAGCACCCAGCUCAACUGUCCUAGCAAAAUUCAUCUUUUCUUUCCAUUGUCAUUUAUUUUAUCGGAGGCAACUUCCAGAGUUUGUGCAUUUUUCAAGACAGUCCUUUUUAGGAAACCCGCAGGUGAAUAUACUUUGAUGUACUUCAGAAGUUGCCUUUCUGAAAGAUUGGCCAUAAUCCAGUGUUUAGUCUGUCAAAAUGCCACUGAGUGAAAAAACAAACAUACAUUUUGGCUUGCCAAAUCCCAUAGGGCAAGAACUUCUAUUCAUUAAUAUUUGUCUCUUUAAAGCUACACUAACAAAGCUUGUCUUAGUCAGGAUUCUGGAAGAAAAAGCAUGCAGACGUUUUAUGUCUCCUCCUUAGGCAAAAAAAAACUCAGCAGGAAUUCGGAGCAUAGCAACAAGAGAUUUUGAUGUUGGUUCACUGAAUAUUAGUUGCUUUGUCCAGCACAAUGUUGUUGGGAUAAAGGAAAGACUGAGUAAACUAAUACCUCUACAAGGGUGUUCUCCUUGAGUAUUUUAUAAACUCUUCUUUCAGAGUUGAAAACUUAUGAAUGGAAAAAUAGGUAGGAGAAGCUUUGGAGUGUCAAAAUCAGAAUCUUUGGAAUAUAAAAGGCAAAGAUGUACCAAGAUGAGACAAGAAAAACUUGAAGUGUGGACUGACUCAAGUUAUUUUAGUCACUUCAUGAAUUUCUUUCUCAACGCCCAAGUAGGGAAAGCAAAAAUCAGUUUUAACCUCUUAUUCACUGUCCCAGUACCAUGCACAAUAUGACUGGUCUGUUAUUCCUUAUCAGAGCAGGAAAAGAAGGGGACAAAAACAAAUUAAGCAAAAUGGUAUUUGAUGUACCUACCAGAAGAAAAUUUUGCAGAAAAAUCUGAGAAUUUAUUUUCUAGAACAGUUUACUACCUUUCUUGUUAGCAACAUUUUAAAAUAAUUAAUAUUAGCAUCUGACUACAAUGUGAAUUUACAUAAAGCCCAUGGCAUUACAGCACAAAACACAAAUACAGCAGAAAAAUAAGGAAGACUUAUUGCUUACUUGAAAGAUUUAUGAUACAGGAUGCUAUUUGGAAGUGCUAUCUAUUUCAUUUUGAUACACCAAAGAGCAUAUGCAUUUUUGAAAUAAUAAUCUUAAAUGUUCAAACCUCUAAAACAAAAACCUGAGGCUACUUGAUUGUAAAAACUGUACAGUCAGAUAGUUUUGACCUAAUUGUAGUGGCUCAUGAGAUUGCCCCCCUUUCAUCCCCCCCAAGGCGAGAGUGCAAAAAUGAGAGAGAUCGAAAUGACUGCUAAUGCUUUUGCACACAUAAAUACAUAAUUCCUCAAGAUUCCACCACCAAUUCAUUAUUUUACCAGCAAAAUGGCACAUUUUAGGAUUGAGACUAAAAGACAGCCAAAUGCUUUCUCACCAUGUACUUCUGGAAAAACACACUUGUGUCCUCCAGCACCACUCAAAACUCUUUGUAUUUAUAACAUUCUGCUGCCUGCAUAAAUAACUAUAUAAUUCUCUCCCAUGAUGUCCCUUCUAAAUUUUACUAUACUUGUGUUUUCAGGAAGUUCUUGUUGUUUAUUUAUUGUUUGGUUUUGCUUUCUAAAUCAGAUUGGUAGAUCAUGUUACAAUACUGAUACAAAUACUGCACAGGUCUAUACAGCCUCAUAGAGUUUCUACAUGUUUUUGUCAGUGUAAUAACAAAACAACCCAUACUUGGGGUUUCUAACACUGCAAGCAGUAACUUAUAUACAAAUUACUAAAUAACAUCAUUUGUUUUCUCGUUGCAUAUUGUCCAGACACAGCCAUCAGAAUUUCUAGUAAAGUCUGUGUUCAAAGAUGAGAUACAAGCACAAGAACAUCCUUUAUUUACCAAAGUUAUUGAUACAUGGCCAUCAGUCCAUUCUACUUAUAAGGUUCACUUUAGACUUGUUUUUUUAGAAACAUGUUGUUACAAUUCCAUAUAGACACAUAACUCAAGAUUUAAAAUUUAAGAAACCUGAAAUAACUCAGAGACUUCCCCAUCCACACUGAGUCAAUCUUGCAUCCUCUAAUAUACUGGAGACCUGUUUAUCAAUUUAUGCUCCCUAUUCAAAUAAAAAGGACUUAAGCAUGCAGACCCACUUCUAACAGCUAAGAUACAAGCAUUUAAUUGCUGUAUUCAGGCUUUGCAAGUAUAAGAUAUACUGUACUAUAGGAAGACUGCUCAGACUUCACUCUUGCUCCUCUUUUUUGACCUUUGUUACCAAGUCUGCACUCAUCUGCUUUGUAAGUAUUGACUUCAGAUUUCAAAUCAAAGAAAGUUUUGGCAGUGCCUGUGAGUUCAGCAUAUUCUUUAUGUAGACAUACUUCUAUAGCUACCGAGGUACUUUGGGGAAUAAUAUCCACUAUUAUAAAUCAUUAGUGUCGUUACUCAGAGUUAGAUGACCUACCCCACUCUCCAUUGAAAGUAAGUAACUCAUUAGAUGAAGGAAGAGCACAGAAGAGGAAUGAUGCUUCUGGAAAAAUUAAAUUUCUAUAUUCAGUUUCGUUUCCAUUUAUCCAAGCCAUGCGAGCAUAGAAGUCAUGACCUCCGGGGGCAGAGGUGAAUGCCUCAGUAUUUUAGGCCUCUCUGCAAACUCUGAAUUAUUCAUUAGCUACAGGCUCAUUUUGUGUAUUAUUAAUGAAAUUUUGCUACAGAGAGUAAUGCCAAAGAGAGACAGAUCUUCCAGUGCAGCUCAUAGUACAUCUUUAGGCUGGGUAGCAAAAAAAAACGACCCUUGCCAGUACUAAAGACCAAGGACACAUGUCAUAAAUUUGAGUCCCAGUCUCCAUCCCUAUAUGAAAAAAUAUGUUCUUCCCCAUUUCUCUCCACCUGCAAGCACCACAAAAGAUGCCCCCAAAAUCUCAUCAGUAAAAGAACUCCAUAAAAGGCAAGUAAUAAUUGUUUUUCUAGCUUUGUACCAUUCUACCAGAAGUCACAGAGUCAAACCCAUGUGAUUUUUCAUAUGUCUCAUCUCAGGACAGUUUGAGUGUUGCACUCAGACUCAACCAAUACUGGUUAUGCUAUACCUUACUUAUGGCUCAUAGUUUGGUUUUUUUUUUUCUUUUAAUAUAUAUUUUUAAGAAGUUUCUUUAUCCUUGAUCAAGAGUUACUAGAACAAAACCAUCUCUAGGAACAUGUAGGAGAAGUUAUGUGAGUAUGAUUUGUCUUACAGUCAUAAAACAAAGACUAAGAGAGAAAGAUCAUUAUUGUAGGUUGAAUGUUUUCAGUCAUUUCCAGACCAACAAGAGAUGAAGUAGAAUAGCAUAUAUCAGAGAUAAUAAGCUUUAAAUCUGCACAAAUAUUUACAUCUGCAAUAUUCAUAUGAGUUUUGCUGCCUCUGAGAAUUCUGAAUAGCAAAUACACCAGGUCCUGGAGAAAACUCUACUCUGGCCAAUACAGCUGAGAAAUGGUUCUACAUUUCUAUACUGUGAACAGCCUGUUUUCCACUGGUGAAGACAAACUGCUGUGGCUGUGACACUGGCAUUCAUGCUAUACAUUGUAUUAAAAAUUCUUCCUUUAAGUGGCUUAGAAAUCAAAAUCAGCUUGAUUUUCUUAAAGAUUGCUUGGCACCUCUAAAAACUUACCAAUCCCACGUUUAGACAUACCAAUCUGCUAUGUCUAAAGUAUCACUGCUCCAUUCAAACUUUCACCCAGAGUCCAGGUAAUCCAAGUGUUAUGGAAGCCAACACCGGUCACUGAUCUGUUCCUGGGACAUUCAUCGACCAACCUUAGCCAUGCAUCUCAUCUCUUAAACCGAUAUCUCAAUAUUAUUCUGCAAGUGAUAAAUCCCUAAAGAUUUCAGUAAUGGUCCACAAAGAAAAAAAUUCUGCACUCUCUACGCAGAAUAUUAACUUACCAACGCUGCAGUUCUUAUUCUAGUAUUAUUUCUCUGCAGUGCAUUUUGACAUAUGUGCAGAUGCCCAAACAAUACGCCUCAGGGAUUGGUACUUGCAUCAGAAUUGAUAACGGAGAUACAGAAAGUUAAUCUUAUUUAUAAUUAUAUUGUUUCUCCUUUUAAAAGAGAUAUGUAGGAAAGUAACAUCUACAUCUUAUUGCAAUGGGCUUGGGUUAAAGCAGGUGCAAAAUAAAUGUAUGGUUAAUA